AUGGCGGGGAAGAAUGAGGAGGAUGGUUCGACAGUGUUCCGGCCAGGCACGGCGGCUUCGUCGCCGGUGCGCACUGUGGUGGCUUUAGCGUUGUGGCUUGGAGCCAUCCACUUCAAUCUCCUGCUUGUCUUGGCAUCCGUCUUCGUCUUCCCCGGACGCAUUGCCGCCUUGGUACUAGGCACGCAGCUCUUCUUCAUGUUCGCUCCUGUGAGUAACACUAACGGAUGGGGGCGAAACGUCGCCAGGUUCAUAUGCAAACACGCGGUCGGCUACUUCCCCAUCACUUUGCAUGUGGAGGACUACGAUGCAUUUGAUCCCAAUACAGCUUACGUGUUUGGUUAUGAGCCGCACUGCGCUAUGCCCUUGGGCUUGUGGGUCGUUGCAGCCCCCAUGGGGUUUAUGCCUCUGCCGAAGAUGAAGAUCUUAGCAAGUAGCGCGGCAUUCUACACACCUUUCCAGCGGCAAAUAUGGACCUGGCUAGGGUUAGUUCCGGCAUCGAGAAAGAACUUCUCCUACUAUCUCGGAGCCGGCUAUAGUUGUGCCGUUGUGCCAGGAGGCCUGCGUGAGAUGCGAUAUAUGGAUCAUGAACCUGACUCAGAAGUUGCUUUCAUUAGAUCAAGGAAAGGAUUCGUAAGAAUAGCCAUUCAAACUGGUUGCCCUUUAGUCCCAGUGUUCUGCUUUGGACAAGAUCGUGUUUACAAUUGGUGGAGACCCGGAAGUAAUUUACUUGUUAAGAUAGCUGGAGUACUCAAAGCUCCCGCAAUUGUCUUCUGGGGUAAAUUCGGAACCUUCAUACCAUUUCGGUUGCCUAUGCAUGUGUUUGUUGGAAGACCUAUUGAAGUAACGAAAAAUAACCAACCUACAAUGGAUGAGAUAAAUGAAGUGCACAAAAAAUUUGUGAUGGCUCUGCAGGAGUUGUUCAACAAGCACAAGUAUAAAGCUGGAUGCCCUAACCUCCAACUACAAGUCAUAUGA
Molecule: ribosomal RNA, 975 nt
Filed under: Triticum aestivum (bread wheat)
Lineage: Eukaryota; Viridiplantae; Streptophyta; Magnoliopsida; Poales; Poaceae
Description: partial small subunit ribosomal RNA
Source: RNAcentral